Molecule: ribosomal RNA, 1357 nt
Filed under: uncultured bacterium
Lineage: Bacteria
Description: bacterial SSU rRNA
Rfam family: Bacterial small subunit ribosomal RNA
Source: RNAcentral
AUUGAACGCUGGCGGCAGGCUUAACACAUGCAAGUCGAGCGGUAACAGGAGAAGCUUGCUUCUCGCUGACGAGCGGCGGACGGGUGAGUAAUACUUAGGAAUCUGCCCAGUAGUGGGGGAUAGCUCGGGGAAACUCGAAUUAAUACCGCAUACACCCUACGGGGAAAAGGGGGCACUUGUGCUCUCGCUAUUGGAUGAGCCUAAGUCGGAUUAGCUAGUUGGUGGGGUAAAGGCCUACCAAGGCGACGAUCUGUAGCUGGUCUGAGAGGAUGAUCAGCCACACCGGGACUGAGACACGGCCCGGACUCCUACGGGAGGCAGCAGUGGGGAAUAUUGGACAAUGGGGGCAACCCUGAUCCAGCCAUGCCGCGUGUGUGAAGAAGGCCUUUUGGUUGUAAAGCACUUUAAGCAGUGAAGAAGACUCUAUGGUUAAUACCCAUAGACGAUGACAUUAGCUGCAGAAUAAGCACCGGCUAACUCUGUGCCAGCAGCCGCGGUAAUACAGAGGGUGCAAGCGUUAAUCGGAAUUACUGGGCGUAAAGCGAGCGUAGGUGGCUUGAUAAGUCAGAUGUGAAAUCCCCGGGCUUAACCUGGGAACUGCAUCUGAUACUGUUAGGCUAGAGUAGGUGAGAGGGAGGUAGAAUUUCAGGUGUAGCGGUGAAAUGCGUAGAGAUCUGAAGGAAUACCGAUGGCGAAGGCAGCCUCCUGGCAUCAUACUGACACUGAGGUUCGAAAGCGUGGGUAGCAAACAGGAUUAGAUACCCUGGUAGUCCACGCCGUAAACGAUGUCUACUAGUCGUUGGGGAACUUGAUUCCUUAGUGACGCAGCUAACGCAAUAAGUAGACCGCCUGGGGAGUACGGCCGCAAGGUUAAAACUCAAAUGAAUUGACGGGGGCCCGCACAAGCGGUGGAGCAUGUGGUUUAAUUCGAUGCAACGCGAAGAACCUUACCUGGUCUUGACAUAUCUAGAAUCCUGCAGAGAUGCGGGAGUGCCUUCGGGAAUUAGAAUACAGGUGCUGCAUGGCUGUCGUCAGCUCGUGUCGUGAGAUGUUGGGUUAAGUCCCGCAACGAGCGCAACCCUUUUCCUUAGUUACCAGCGGUUUGGCCGGGGACUCUAAGGAUACUGCCAGUGACAAACUGGAGGAAGGCGGGGACGACGUCAAGUCAUCAUGGCCCUUACGACCAGGGCUACACACGUGCUACAAUGGUAGGUACAGGGGGCAGCUACACAGCGAUGUGAUGCGAAUCUCAAAAAGCCUAUCGUAGUCCAGAUUGGAGUCUGCAACUCGACUCCAUGAAGUCGGAAUCGCUAGUAAUCGCGGAUCAGAAUGCCGCGAUGAAUACGUUCCCGGGCCU